AAGAAAAGAAAAGAAAAAAACGAAAGGAAAAAAUUUUCAAUCUGUGAAGAUCCGAUUAUCGUUAUUGUACUUAACGGAAUUUAAAAGAUUUCCCGCCAAAAAAGUAAUCCUUAUCGUUAUCAAUCAACGAGCGAUCUUUUCUUUUUCUUUUCGAAUCUUUCUCACGACCUUCACCGAUACUCUCGAUCGAAGGAGAAAACAAGAGUAUGAGAGAUUUUCUUUUUCCUUCUUUUUCUUUUUUUUUUUUUUCUUUUCUUCUUUCCCUCCCCCUCACCCCAUUACGAGCCGACUUUAUCUCAAUGAUUACGAUGACUUAAUCUUCUCCGUCUUUCUCUAUAGGAUCGGGAAAAAAAAAAAGUUUACAAAGUGGGAAGGUCUAGCACGCGAUCUCGACGAGAAAGACUAAUAUUCGCGGGCGUCUUUAUAGAAGUUGAUUUUCACGAUGACGUCAGCAACGAAGCAAAGCGAAGAGAGUCCUCGUGUGUCUCAAAAACAUUGAAGUGUUUCUCUCCAACCGGUUGUACACCUUUGAGUUGCUCUCAGAAAACAAAAAAAAAAAAAAAAAAAAAAAAAGUCACAUAGACAAAAAUCGGAUGGUCCCUUUUAAGAUGAGACAUCUCGAACUAGAAAAGAGUUAGAGAGAGAGAGAGAGAAAGAGAGAGAGAGUUGAAUGGGAGAAGUGAUUUCUCUCGACAUGAAGUGCGGGUUUUUCCCCUACAAACUGUACGAAACGAACACGUUAAUUACAUCUUGCAAUCUUUUCUAACUAUGGUUAGAUGGCUUACGUAAUACACGGCGCCGUUAUUGACUCAAACCGAGAGAAUAAGAAGAAUGAAAGAAAGAAAGAAAGAAAAACUUCUACGUCCAUAUUUUUCUUCGUGGUAUCCUUCCUUAUCUAUAUACACGAUGGCGAUACUUGAUCACUAAAUAAAAACAGAAAGAGAGAGAGAGAGAGAGAGAGAGAGAGAGAGAGAGAGAGAGAGAGAGAG
Molecule: long non-coding RNA, 989 nt
Organism: Vespa crabro (European hornet)
Lineage: Eukaryota; Metazoa; Arthropoda; Insecta; Hymenoptera; Vespidae
Exons: 2
Source: RefSeq, a predicted model, not a curated record